RNAcentral lists this transfer RNA (75 nucleotides) under Syntrophobacter sp. DG_60. RNAcentral describes it as "tRNA-Val". It matches the Rfam family "tRNA". From Rfam's summary of the family: Transfer RNA (tRNA) molecules are approximately 80 nucleotides in length. Their secondary structure includes four short double-helical elements and three loops (D, anti-codon, and T loops). The record is from RNAcentral. Lineage: Bacteria; Pseudomonadati; Thermodesulfobacteriota; Syntrophobacteria; Syntrophobacterales; Syntrophobacteraceae. RNAcentral also lists the same sequence under 1 other name.
GGGCGGAUAGCUCAGUGGGAGAGCGUUGGCCUUACAAGCCAAAGGUCACAGGUUCAAGCCCUGUUCCGCCCACCA